CAGUAGCCGCGGUAAUACGUAGGGUGCAAGCGUUAAUCGGAAUUACUGGGCGUAAAGCGUGCGCAGGCGGUUUGUUAAGGCAGAUGUGAAAUCCCCGGGCUCAACCUGGGAACUGCAUUUGUGACUGGCAAGCUAGAGUAUGGCAGAGGGGGGUGGAAUUCCGCGUGUAGCGGUGAAAUGCGUAGAUAUGCGGAGGAACACCGAUGGCGAAGGCAGCCCCCUGGGCCAAUACCGACGCUCAUGCACGAAAGCGUGGGGAGCAAACAGGAUUAGAUACCCCGGUAGUCCCUGUCUCUUAUAC
Molecule: ribosomal RNA, 301 nt
Filed under: uncultured bacterium
Lineage: Bacteria
Description: partial 16S ribosomal RNA
Rfam family: Bacterial small subunit ribosomal RNA
Source: RNAcentral